UAAUGAACAACGCAAAUUCAUAACACUGCCUUUAAAAGCAUUUUCGACUCGAGAGCUGCGGCGCUUCCUUCGGGGGCGUGGCCUCCAUGACGACGAAAACCGUCUGUGCUAGUGGAGAGUGACAAAACUGCAGAGGAUUAUGGGUGCCGUUUGCUCCUGUGCGGUGGAGUGGAGGGCAAUGAUCAGCUGUACAU
This is a small RNA of 194 nucleotides. It matches the Rfam family "A. fumigatus sRNA Afu_182". The record is from Rfam.